CAAGUCGAGCGAGAAAGGGGCUUCGGCUACCGAGUAAAGCGGCGGACGGUGCGUAACACGUGGAUAAUCUGCCUCGUAGGCGGGGGACAACAGUCCGAAAGGACUGCUAAUACCGCAUGUCAGGUCGGAAACUCCGGUUUCUGACGAAAAAGAGGGCGUCCGCAAGGAGCUCUCACCACGAGAUGAGUCCGCGUCCCAUCAGCUAGUUGGCGGUGUAAUGGACCACCAAGGCUUAGACGGGUAGCUGGUCUGAGAGGAUGACCAGCCACACUGGGACUGAGACACGGCCCAGACUCCUACGGGAGGCAGCAGUGGGGAAUAUUGGACAAUGGGCGAAAGCCUGAUCCAGCCAUGCCGCGUGAGUGAUGAAGGCCUUCGGGUCGUAAAGCUCUGUGGGGAGGGACGAAAAAGCGUGACCUAAUACGUCUCGCCUUGACGGUACCUCCUUAGCAAGCACCGGCUAACUCCGUGCCAGCAGCCGCGGUAAUACGGAGGGUGCAAACGUUGCUCGGAAUUAUUGGGCG
RNAcentral lists this ribosomal RNA (524 nucleotides) under uncultured bacterium. RNAcentral describes it as "bacterial SSU rRNA". It matches the Rfam family "Bacterial small subunit ribosomal RNA", at positions 58 to 560 of the family's 1533-position model. The record is from RNAcentral.